GUGCUCCCUUCGGCAGCUCAUAUAAUAAAAUUAGAAUGCUACAGAGAUUAGUGUGAACCCUGCACAAGGAUAGGAUGCAGUUUUGUGAAGCAUUCCAUAUUUUU
This is a small nuclear RNA of Phascolarctos cinereus (koala), 104 nucleotides long. The record is from Ensembl. NCBI's taxonomy places the organism in Eukaryota, Metazoa, Chordata, Mammalia, Diprotodontia, Phascolarctidae.